GCUUACUCAUGAAAUACAGAGAACAUUCUAUGAACGGAUCUUGAACAAACCAUCGGUUUUUACAUCACGUGGUUGGCAGAAUUACCUGAAUAGAUUGCUUACUAUUAGCAGUAAUAUCAUCAAACAAUAAUCGGGAAAAUCAACAAUUUAAAUUCAUCGGCAGUACAUUAGCGACAAAACUAGUUAAAUUUAAGAAAUAAUAAAAUAAUUCAAUGAAAC
Anopheles coustani is the source of this 219-nucleotide long non-coding RNA. RefSeq lists it as uncharacterized. The record is from RefSeq and is a predicted model, not a curated record. NCBI's taxonomy places the organism in Eukaryota, Metazoa, Arthropoda, Insecta, Diptera, Culicidae. The transcript has 3 exons.